GACGAACGCUGGCGGCGUGCUUAACACAUGCAAGUCGAGCGGUAAGGCCCUUUCGGGGUACACGAGCGGCGAGCGGUGAGUAACACGUGGGUGACCUGCCCUCAGCUCUGGGAUAAGCCUGGGAAACCGGGUCUAAUACUGGAUAUGACUCCAUGACGCAUGUUGUGGGGUGGAAAGCCUUGUGCGGCUGAGGAUGGGCCCGCGGCCUAUCAGCUUGUUGGUGGGGUGAUGGCCUACCAAGGCGACGACGGGUAGCCGGCCUGAGAGGGCGACCGGCCACACUGGGACUGAGACACGGCCCAGACUCCUACGGGAGGCAGCAGUGGGGAAUCUUGCGCAAUGGGCGAAAGCCUGACGCAGCGACGCCGCGUGAGGGAUGACGGCCUCGGUUGUAAC
RNAcentral lists this ribosomal RNA (396 nucleotides) under uncultured bacterium. Its description in RNAcentral is "bacterial SSU rRNA". It matches the Rfam family "Bacterial small subunit ribosomal RNA", at positions 28 to 429 of the family's 1533-position model. The record is from RNAcentral.